RNAcentral lists this long non-coding RNA (324 nucleotides) under Panax ginseng (ginseng). RNAcentral's name for it is "long non-coding RNA (PGIN_LNC007754)". The record is from RNAcentral. Lineage: Eukaryota; Viridiplantae; Streptophyta; Magnoliopsida; Apiales; Araliaceae.
CUAACCCAGAAACUCAUGUCAGAGAUCGAUUGUGCAUGUUUGACCAAGCUUUCUGAUAAGAUCCAGAUGUUUCUGGGCAUGUUGUUAGUCAGAUAUUGUAGUUCUAAUGCACGACUACACGAUCCAACAACAAACAUUUUCAUACACUGCAUAACCAAAUCGAUUGAGCCUCUAAUGUGGUUGUCAGACAUGUCCUUCAUUUCUGGGUUACCCAGAAAUGAAGAACAGUUCGUGACGCCUAUUUUGGGCUUCCACACCUUGUUCUUCAUGUAAUGUUUAAGUUUUCUAAGGGUUCCAGGUUCUAGAACACAUGUAGUACUAUAG